This 496-nucleotide ribosomal RNA is filed under the name uncultured bacterium. RNAcentral describes it as "bacterial SSU rRNA". It matches the Rfam family "Bacterial small subunit ribosomal RNA", at positions 28 to 506 of the family's 1533-position model. The record is from RNAcentral.
GACGAACGCUGGCGGCGUGCCUAAUACAUGCAAGUAGAACGCUGAAGAAAGGAGCUUGCUUCUUUUGGAUGAGUUGCGAACGGGUGAGUAACGCGUAGGUAACCUGCCUUGUAGCGGGGGAUAACUAUUGGAAACGAUAGCUAAUACCGCAUAACAGCUUUUGACACAUGUUAGAAGCUUGAAAGAUGCAAUUGCAUCACUACGAGAUGGACCUGCGUUGUAUUAGCUAGUAGGUAGGGUAACGGCCUACCUAGGCGACGAUACAUAGCCGACCUGAGAGGGUGAUCGGCCACACUGGGACUGAGACACGGCCCAGACUCCUACGGGAGGCAGCAGUAGGGAAUCUUCGGCAAUGGGGGCAACCCUGACCGAGCAACGCCGCGUGAGUGAAGAAGGUUUUCGGAUCGUAAAGCUCUGUUGUAAGAGAAGAACGUGUGUGAGAGUGGAAAGUUCACACAGUGACGGUAACUUACCAGAAAGGGACGGCUAACUACGU